This 254-nucleotide ribosomal RNA is filed under the name uncultured bacterium. RNAcentral's name for it is "partial 16S ribosomal RNA". It matches the Rfam family "Bacterial small subunit ribosomal RNA", at positions 524 to 776 of the family's 1533-position model. The record is from RNAcentral.
UACGUAGGGGGCGAGCGUUGUCCGGAAUCAUUGGGCGUAAAGAGCUCGUAGGCUGUUCAGCAAGUCGGCUGUGAAAUUCCGAGGCUCAACCUCGGAACUGCAGUCGAUACUGCUGUGACUCGAGUCCGGUAGAGGAGAAUGGAAUUCCCGGUGUAGCGGUGAAAUGCGCAGAUAUCGGGAGGAACACCAGUAGCGAAGGCGGUUCUCUGGGCCGGUACUGACGCUGAGGAGCGAAAGCGUGGGGAGCAAACAGG